CUGGCCCCAUCCUGUAGGCAAGGUCCUUGUCUCAGAGCCUCUGCCCACAGCCAGCUGUGGUGUGAGGGGAGGAGGAUGUUUCAAGCCCAGCCAGGAAGGCUGGCAGGUGCUGGGCCACCUCCUUGAGGUCUCCAGAACAGCUGGGGCUACGACUACCCAAAGCUAGGAUGGUAGGUCCAUAAGGUGAGGGCCCAAAGUAGGGAACAGUCUGAUGGGUUGGGGGAGUCUUGGAUGCUCAGAGGUACCCCAGCUCCCCACACUGUGUUUGGUGUUGCCCACAGUGUCCUCACCCUGACUCCUGGCCCUGGGAAUCCCAGGAUCCCAAGGUCCUUUACAUCCUGCGCAAUACACUCAGGGGCCCAUUUCAGGAAGCUGGAGCCCCUAAGAUGCAUGGGCUGGGGCAUCUCACCAAGAGGCCUCUCCAAAACCUUUGCAACUUGUCUGUUGGCUCUCCCAACUUGGAGUGCCACCAACAGGAGGGUGUCUCUUAUUUGCAUGCCAGUGUGUGCUUCAUGUGCAGGUCUGUACUCAGGUGUGUGCCACUGUUAGCCAGGACCCUAGUGUGACAGAGUCUCUCCCUGCCUCCUGAAGGAAGAGCAUGCUGAGGGCCAGCUGAGAUGGGGGUGGGGCAGUGACCAGAAAGAGUGUUUCCUGGGGGAGGGAAGGGAGAUACCCCCCCCCCCCCCCCGCCAUCCCCAGCACUGACCCGGGCACCGGGACACGAUGGGCCGGCCGGCCGCUCUCGCGCGCACACACACUCACAGACACAGGUUGAGGGAGGGGGAUCCAGGAGUCUCAGCCUUGUAUCACCCAGCUGGCCCUCUCCCUCACAUGCAUUCAGCCUUCUUUUCUGAAAAACGUGGAGUAUGUGCUGGGAUGUAUGCUACUCAUAACUCACCAUACACAAGGUUUCCCCCACGGGGACACACGCACCCUCACAAGCCAUGACAGGGUGACACACAGAGACGCACGCUGGCGGCCGGCUCCCAGGGCCCGCCCUCCUUCGGCGACUCGCCAGUGACACACACACUGCUGCCGCCUCCCGGCUCACACCCACAUCCCGGGAGGAGUCCUGCUCCCGCCGCGCUCCCCCGAGACCCGCGGCGCGGCGCUUCUGUGUUCUGCUCCCUCCGCCGCGCCUGGAAACCGCAGUGGGCCGGCCGGGAUGAGCUCACGCUGCCGCCGGCCGCCCAAGCCUAACGCGCUCCAGAUGCCCGGCGGCCGGACCUCGGAGCGCAGAGGACGGCCCUCUGGCGCCCCCUGCAGGGGUCAGCGGCCUCGAGAGGUGCUGGCGCGAGGACCGCUAUGGUCGCGGGCGGUGGGUGAGGGCUGCCCCCGGAAGGGGCGGGGCUUAGCACACCCGCCAGUUUUCUUGGGGCUGUGCCCGCUUGCUCUAGUUCGGAGCUGGUUUUGAGCUGCCGCGAAGGCUACCCUGUCUGCUCCGCGCGCUUUCCAGGUCCUGGCCCAGUGUUCCUCUGGGCGGCGGUCCCCUCCCUGGCCGCCCUCGCCAAAACCUCAGAUCCCACCUCCACCUCACCCCCAGUUCCCUGGACCCUCCACCAGGAAAGAACUGGAAAAUUUUAUUUGAGCCAACCUGAGGACAACCCAGGAGGAUAGUCUUUCAGAAGUCCUGAGGACUGUUCCAUCUGUUCAAGGUCAAGGCACAGUUUUGUAAGUUUUUGAGACAAAGGUUUAUACAUCAAAGUCACAUGACUGACAGUUUACAUUGUCCAACAAGCUUUGGAGAAACAAGCUGCUGUGAGUCCUACAGCCACAGGAAACGAAUUCACGCAACAACUGAUUAAGCUUGGAAACAAAUGCUUUUCCGGUUGAGUUGCCCAGUGGAUAAGAGCCCAGCCCUAGCUGACACCUUGAUUUCAGUCUUACAGAAGACCCAUGAAAUUCUCCACUACUGCUUCAGGAGGCUGAGCUAAGCAUUCUUCGCUAUGAGAAAUGUAAUGAGGUGCUCAAAGACAAGAUGGAAAGUCGCCUUGAUGUGGUCAAGAAGGGGGUUGUCUGUGGUACCAGCUCCAGAGGAAAGGAUUCCUGCCAGGGAGAUUCUGGGGGUCCCCUGGUCUGUGAAUUUAAUGACUCAUGGGUCCAAGUGGGGAUUGUGAGCUGGGGCAUUGGCUGUGGUCUCAGAGGGUAUCCAGGAAUUUAUACAGAAGUGAGUUUCUACAAGGAUUGGGUCAUUGCAAGAAUGAGUCAGGCUUCUCCUCUGGACUCAAAGGGCUUCUUCAGCAUACCUCUGUGUCUGGUGCUCCUGGACCUCCUGGCAACCCCUUGAUCCCUCCUGUUUCUGAGUCUCACACUAGUCUGGCCUCUGACUUCUCACCCCUACUCAAUGCCUGUAGCUCAAUUCCAUUUGAGAUCCACUGACCCUGUGGAGAUCCUCAUGACACAGAGUGGCAGCAAGAAAGAAACCCUGGAAGCUUCCCAGCCUGUGAUGCAGGAACCUGCCUCAUCUACGCCUACACCUCGGCUGUGGCUGCCUGCUGGGAAGGGGGGGUGAAACCCUCCCAGCUGGAUGGCCAUCAGCUUGACAGGUGCACAUGAUGCUUCAUCUGCAUCUUGGAGAACGUCUAGCGAAGAAGAGAUGUCAUCAAUGGUGAAAGAGACUUCAACCUGACACUUUAUCAACCUGGUCAGCUUGGUGGUGUUGGGAGUUGAGAAGGCAUCAGCAUGUCCACAUCUGGCUUGUUGUCUGGGCUGGGAGAAGGUCCUCUGCUCCCCAGUGCAGGUCCAUCUGUGAGUGCCCAGCCUCUGCCACACAAGCCCUCCUGGGCCAUUCAGUCUUGGAACCCCCUUCCCAGUGCUCCAGUGGCCACAUCCAGGAUCACCCCAAGUUGUGUUGAGGCAUUAAGGAGUGUGGAGAUUUCAGAUGUCCACUGAAUAAAUGCUUGGAGAGUC
Molecule: RNA transcript, 2910 nt
Organism: Sus scrofa (pig)
Lineage: Eukaryota; Metazoa; Chordata; Mammalia; Artiodactyla; Suidae
Gene: PRSS44
Gene name: serine protease 44
Source: RefSeq, a predicted model, not a curated record